This 253-nucleotide ribosomal RNA is filed under the name uncultured bacterium. RNAcentral describes it as "partial 16S ribosomal RNA". It matches the Rfam family "Bacterial small subunit ribosomal RNA", at positions 524 to 776 of the family's 1533-position model. The record is from RNAcentral.
UACAGAGGUCUCAACCGUUGUUCGGAUUCAUUGGGCGUAAAGGGUGCGUAGGCGGUCGUGCAAGUCGGAUGUGAAAUCUCAGGGCUCAACCCUGAAACUGCAUUCGAUACUGCGGGUCUCGAGUCCGGGAGAGGUGAGUGGAAUUCCUAGUGUAGAGGUGAAAUUCGUAGAUAUUAGGAAGAACACCAGUGGCGAAGGCGGCUCACUGGCCCGGUACUGACGCUGAGGCGCGAAAGCGUGGGGAGCAAACAGG